UUGAACGCUGGCGGCAGGCCUAACACAUGCAAGUCGAGCGGUAGAGAGUAGCUUGCUACUUGAUGCAGCGGCGGACGGGUGAGUAACGCGUGGGAAUCUGCCCAGUAGUGGGGGACAACAGCCGGAAACGGCUGCUAAUACCGCAUACGCCCUACGGGGGAAAGGGGGGGAUCUUCGGACCUCUCGCUAUUGGAUUAGCCCGCGUGGGAUUAGCUAGUUGGUAGGGUAAAGGCCUACCAAGGCUACGAUCCGUAACUGGUCUGAGAGGAUGAUCAGUCACACUGGAACUGAGACACGGUCCAGACUCCUACGGGAGGCAGCAGUGGGGAAUAUUGGACAAUGGGGGAAACCCUGAUCCAGCCAUGCCGCGUGUGUGAAGAAGGCCUUAGGGUUGUAAAGCACUUUCAGUGGGGAGAAAGGUUUGUCACCUACUACGUGAUGAAAUUGAUGUUACCCACAGAAGAAGCACCGGCUAACUCCGUGCCAGCCGCCGCUGUAA
RNAcentral lists this ribosomal RNA (499 nucleotides) under uncultured bacterium. Its description in RNAcentral is "partial 16S ribosomal RNA". It matches the Rfam family "Bacterial small subunit ribosomal RNA", at positions 30 to 523 of the family's 1533-position model. The record is from RNAcentral.